CCCCUCUUGUGGUUUUACACCAAUGUCUCUAUCAGGACUCUCGUUGGAGGCUCUCCUACAUAAUUGUAAAGGCUAUGAUCUCAAGGGGCUAGGUCCGUUAUAAGAAGCCAUUCCGACACGUGUUACAGUUUAAUUGGUUGGCCAAAGUCCCUCCCCGUAAGAGCAACUCCACCCCUUAGGGCAAAGUCUAAGGCAAGGGCAAGCAAGGGCAAGCAAGGGCUGACACUAUUCACGUGAAUAGUGUCAGCCUUGCCAUUUGUGGUUCCACCCACAAGGGCAAAGUCUAGGGCAAGUCUAGGGCAAUUACUAUUCAUUGUACUUUAUUUCCUAUUUUUUAAUACUUUAAAUCAUUAAUUUUGAUAAUCUUUUGUAAUUAAAUUUUCGGAUAAGAUUUUCGGAUGUGAAUCUCGGUUGCCACGUG
This 421-nucleotide long non-coding RNA is filed under the name Prunus persica (peach). RNAcentral's name for it is "long non-coding RNA (PPER_LNC005634)". The record is from RNAcentral. Lineage: Eukaryota; Viridiplantae; Streptophyta; Magnoliopsida; Rosales; Rosaceae.